AGUAACAACCCCACUCCUCGAACCAGGUGUCUGCACUAAUUACUCUUCCUCAUUGUUAUUACCUGGUGAAAAUCAAUUUGAGAAAGGAAGGGUUUAUUUGGGUUUACCAUCCAUGAGGCAUGCCAACAAGAGCAUCCAUGAGGCAUGACAACAAGAGUGUUAGGCAGCUUGUCACAAUGUGUGCAGUGAAGAAGAGAGAAGUUCAAUGAAAAUGUUUACUGUGCUCCAUGGUUUCAAAGGGGACAACCUACAGUGGCUUGGCCCAUGCACUUGAGCAGAAUCAUUGCAUCAGGAAAUCAUGAGAGGGGACUCAACAUCCCCAAGGAUCCUUCUCCCUGUGAGCUACUUCCUCCAACUGACUCCACCUUCUAAAGGUCCUACAACCUUCCCAACAGAGCCCUCAACUGAAAUUUGAGUGAAUAACACAUGGGCCUGUGUGGCAUUUCACAUUCAAAGCAUAAUUUCAUCACUAAAGCUUGAAAUGUGAUUCUGAGGAUGGCAUUUAUUGAACCGUGUGCUUGAGGCUGAGUAAUAUACAGAUACAUCUCUCAUUUGAAGGUAUAAAUGUUCUCAUUCUGAUAUUUAAUCACACUGUGGUUAAUGUGAAGCUCAGUCAAAGUGUGGUCUCAAUGCCAGCUAGCUGUAUCACCCUGUGGAUAAGAAUAAACAACCUGGUUAUAAUUAAGUUGAAUACUUCUUUGAAAGAAGAUGAUACUUCCAGGAACACUGGCAUCUCAGUAUCAUCCCUAGAUACUUGUCCUAGUCACAAACCCAGGUCGAGCUACAUCUCAAAAGCGUUGGCUGCAUUUCUACGUGCUUGUGGCCAGGAGCCCUUACUGGUGGCUGUGAACAAUAUAUGUCUCAAAACCCCCAGACAUGAUGAGGGUUAUAUUAGAUGAAGGGAUCUUGCCUCCAGCCCAUGCUGCUGUUCAUAAUCGAUGAACUCCAGAAACGUGAGUUGGAAACUCUGCUUUUAAAAACUUCAGUGCCGGGCUGGCGAGAUGGCUCAACAGGUAAGAGCACUGACUGCUCUUCCAGAGGUCCUGAGUUCAAAUCCCAGCAACUACAUGGUGGCUCACAACCAUCCGUAAUGAGAUCUGACACCCUCUUCUGGUGUGUCUGAAGACAGCUACAGUGUACUUAUGUAUAAUAAUAAAUAAGUCUUUAAAAAAAAAAAAAA
This 1180-nucleotide long non-coding RNA is filed under the name Mus musculus (house mouse). RNAcentral's name for it is "predicted gene 44992". Lineage: Eukaryota; Metazoa; Chordata; Mammalia; Rodentia; Muridae. The record is from RNAcentral.